Molecule: ribosomal RNA, 452 nt
Filed under: uncultured bacterium
Lineage: Bacteria
Description: bacterial SSU rRNA
Rfam family: Bacterial small subunit ribosomal RNA
Source: RNAcentral
UACGGAAGGCAGCAGUGGGGAAUAUUGCACAAUGGGCGCAAGCCUGAUGCAGCCAUGCCGCGUGUAUGAAGAAGGCCUUCGGGUUGUAAAGUACUUUCAGUCGUGAGGAAGGUGUUAAGGUUAAUAACCUUAGCAAUUGACGUUAGCGACAGAAGAAGCACCGGCUAACUCCGUGCCAGCAGCCGCGGUAAUACGGAGGGUGCGAGCGUUAAUCGGAAUUACUGGGCGUAAAGGGCACGCAGGCGGUUAAUUAAGUUGGAUGUGAAAUCCCCGGGCUUAACCUGGGAAUGGCAUUCAAGACUGGUUAGCUAGAGUCUUGUAGAGGGGGUAGAAUUCCAUGUGUAGCGGUGAAAUGCGUAGAGAUGUGGAGGAAUACCGGUGGCGAAGGCGGCCCCUGGACAAAGACUGACGCUCAUGUGCGAAAGCGUGGGGAGCAAACAGGGAUUAAUACC